CGUUCAGGGGUAAACCUGAGAAACCCGAACGUCCGAAAUGGGAGAUUCAUCACGUCUCCGUACCGUCGACGGACGCAAGGCGACGAGAGACCCUCCGGUCGAUCGCUCCCCGGCCCGUCGUGCGACGCGGAAUGUGUGCACUUCUCCCUAAGUAAGAACGUCGUGAGCCGUUGAGCUCGUCGGUCUACGGCCGCAGGUGGAGACCAGGAGCGCGUUUCGGCGCGUUACUGGACCCGGCGCGCCCGGCCCUCGCUCGACGGCAUCAAAAAGGCACGGAGCCGCGAUCGCUCGCGCCCGGCCCCCCGCAAGUGCGGACGUCCUACCCGGAUCUCGGACCUGGUGCCGAAUCCGGAGGCGUUCGGCUGCUGGCGUGGGAGCCCUCGGGCCGUCUCCGCACAUGCCUCUCCACGACGCUUUAGCUAAGGGUUACUUCUCAGGACCCGUCUUGAAACACGGACCAAGGAGUCUAGCAUGUACGCGAGUCAUUGGGACACAGUUAAACCCAUUGGCGAAAUGAAUGUGAAGACCGCUUCGCGCGCGUUCAGGGAGGAUGGGAAUCCCCUAGAGGAGACCCCGCACUCCCGGGGCGUCUCGUGCUCAUCGCGAGCUGAGGCGCACCCAGAGCGCACACGCUGGGACCCGAAA
This 645-nucleotide ribosomal RNA is filed under the name Coproporus tachyporoides. RNAcentral describes it as "partial large subunit ribosomal RNA". It matches the Rfam family "Eukaryotic large subunit ribosomal RNA", at positions 406 to 821 of the family's 3401-position model. Lineage: Eukaryota; Metazoa; Arthropoda; Insecta; Coleoptera; Staphylinidae. The record is from RNAcentral.